CUGAGCUACCAAAGAGCAACCUCUGAGCAAUAAAACAGUCCUCUGUAUUAUGCUAGCAUCAUCAUCGCUAAUGAUCACUGUUAUGAACCCCAAAAUGUGUUACUUUCAAUUUUCAGUGAAACUAUUGUGAGAGUCACAUUAACAACUCAUCUAAAGUGUUGACAUCUGUAAGAACAGCUACACCGCGUGAGUAAGUGCUGCAGUGCGGUACCUCUCUUAACUCUUGCAGAGCCAUGUUAGCUUUGAAGAUUUCCUACACUGGAUGAAAGUUCGUCUGAGGUCAAAACAACAGCGUAGACAGGUGUUGUUAUAUCAAUAUCAGCUCUUAAGGCAGCUAGGAGACUUUAAAACGGAUAAAGCCAGUCUUUCAAGACCUAUGACAAAUUCACAUUCUUGAAAGUGACGCUCUGCUCCUUGUGUCUGCAUAGGUUCUCACCAUGAACACCCAGACCACACAGUUCGUUCCCAGCCCCCACAUCAGAUCUAUCAUCUCACCCCCUCCCAUUCGAGAACAUGUGUUAAGCCCAUGUAUGGGAAUGUAAGGUGGGCUGUGGAGAAACUCUCCUGGGGUUUGUGGUGCGAUAGCACCUGUAAACUUCCAGUACUGUGUGGGUGUCAUAGCCAUCAGUCAGCUCACCUCUCAAUUACCAGAUACUGUUCCCCCCAGUGAGGGAUCUGUAGACGGUGCCACGCAGAGUGCCUCGCAAAUUCAAUCUCUGCCAUCUCCCUCUAAUUACACUGUGAUGAGGAGCAAAAUGGGAAUCUGCCAUGGAACACAUUCCAAUCCCAUGCACGGAUGAGGCUGCUAAGUAAUUGAGCUGAUACAGGUGCCAAAACAUUGACAAAAUGCCUUGGGUGUUUUGUCUGAAAAUCUUCUGCCCUUUGUAGAGAAGCUGGAGGCAAGGAUUGUGUGAAUGAGGUUGAUGAAAUGCUCACUCCACAGUGACAUGUUUAGAACAAAGAGUGAAGAAAAAAAAAAAUGUCUGCAACUACAGUCUAUCCACUAGUUUUAGAAAUAAAUAGCCAGCAAGUCAUUAUCA
This is a long non-coding RNA of Cyprinus carpio (common carp), 1040 nucleotides long. Lineage: Eukaryota; Metazoa; Chordata; Actinopteri; Cypriniformes; Cyprinidae. The record is from Ensembl.